RNAcentral lists this long non-coding RNA (517 nucleotides) under Malus domestica (apple). RNAcentral describes it as "long non-coding RNA (MDOM_LNC012731)". The record is from RNAcentral. Lineage: Eukaryota; Viridiplantae; Streptophyta; Magnoliopsida; Rosales; Rosaceae.
CACUCCCAACAAGAUUGCUUGCUCAAAAAUCGAAGAGGCAAAGCUCUCCGAAUCUCGAAAGCUAGACUCCCAACAGGAUCACUUUCUAAAAAAUCAAAGAGACACUACUCUUCGAAUCUCAAGAGUCAGACUCCCUACAUGAUUACUUUAUCAAAAAUUGAAGAGACACUACUCUUCGAAUCUCGAGAACCAAACUCCCAACAGGAUUACUUUCUCAAAAAUCGAAGAGACACUGCUCUCUGAAUCUCAAGAGUCAAACUCCCAACAGGAUUACUUUCUCAAAAAUCGAAGAGGCACUACUCUCCGAAUCUCGAGAGCCAGACUUCCAACAGGAUUAUGUACUAAAAAAUUGAAGAAGCACCACCCUCCUAAUCUCGGGAGCCAGACUCCCAACAGGAUUACUUUCUAAAAAAUCGAAGAGACACUGCUCUCCGAAUCUCAAGAGUCAGACUUCCAACAUGAUUGCUUUCUCAAAAAUCGAAGAGGCACCGUUCUCUGAAUCUCGAGAGCCAGAUCC